ACUUGGUGUGGUUGUUGCUGGCCUUCUCGGGGGCAUGUGCACACCCACCAUCCUCAUCUCUCCACCUGUGCACCUCUUGUAGACCUGGAUUGACUUUCCGAGGCAACUCGGUCGGGAAGAUUGCUGCGMUCUGUGAGCCAGCUUUCUUUGCAUGUCCAGGCCUAUGUUUUUCAUAUACCCCUAUAGAAUGUAACAGAAUGUAUCAUUGGGCCUUGUGCCUAUAAACCUUAUACAACUUUCAGCAACGGAUCUCUUGGCUCUCGCAUCGAUGAAGAACGCAGCGAAAUGCGAUAAGUAAUGUGAAUUGCAGAAUUCAGUGAAUCAUCGAAUCUUUGAACGCACCUUGCGCUCCUUGGUAUUCCGAGGAGCAUGCCUGUUUGAGUGUCAUUAAAUUCUCAACCUUAUUAACUUUUGUUGAUAAUGGAUUGGAUUGUGGGGGUUUCUUUUGCUGGCUUCUUCACAGAGAUCAGCUCCCCUUAAAUGCAUUAGCUGGUGCCCCGCGUGGACCAUCUAUUGGUGUGAUAAUUAUCUACGCCGUGGAUGUCUGCAAUYAUAUGGGUUUCGCACUGCUUCUAACCGUCUGUUCAUUCGGACAAUACAUGACAAUUUGACCUCAAAUCAGGUAGGACUACCCGCUGAACUUAAGCAUAUCAAUAAGCGGAGGAAAAGAAACUAACAAGGAUUCCCCUAGUAACUGCGAGUGAAGCGGGAAAAGCUCAAAUUUAAAAUCUGGCGGUCUCCGGCCGUCCGAGUUGUAAUCUAGAGAAGUGUUAUCCGCGCUGGAC
RNAcentral lists this ribosomal RNA (785 nucleotides) under Alnicola umbrina. RNAcentral's name for it is "eukaryotic LSU rRNA". The stretch from base 234 to 387 matches the Rfam family "5.8S ribosomal RNA". Lineage: Eukaryota; Fungi; Basidiomycota; Agaricomycetes; Agaricales; Hymenogastraceae. The record is from RNAcentral.